AACGUACGCUGGCGGUGUGCUUAACACAUGCAAGUCGAACGAGAAAGUUUCCUUCGGGAAGCGAGUAAAGUGGCGCAAGGGUGAGUAACACGUGAAUAAUCUGCCCUCGAGACUGGGAUAACCUGGUGAAAACUGGGCUAAUACCGGAUAAGACCACGUCCCGCAAGGGAUGCGGGAAAAGGAGGCUCAACCUCCACUUGUGGAUGAGUUCGCGGACCAUUAGCUUGUUGGUGAGAUAAAAGCUCACCAAGGCUACGAUGGUUAGCCGGCCUGAGAGGGUGAACGGCCACACUGGAACUGAGACACGGUCCAGACUCCUACGGGAGGCAGCAGUGGGGAAUAUUGCACAAUGGGCGAAAGCCUGAUGCAGCAAUGGGCCGCGUGUGUGAAG
RNAcentral lists this ribosomal RNA (391 nucleotides) under uncultured Nitrospina sp. Its description in RNAcentral is "bacterial SSU rRNA". It matches the Rfam family "Bacterial small subunit ribosomal RNA", at positions 29 to 410 of the family's 1533-position model. The record is from RNAcentral. Lineage: Bacteria; Pseudomonadati; Nitrospinota; Nitrospinia; Nitrospinales; Nitrospinaceae.